GAGGAAGUAACUCCAGAUCCUUGUGAUUGGUCGUAAUAACACAGUGCUUCCUGUUGGUUGAAUACACCACAGCCAAGGCUUCCCUUCCUUCCUUGCUCACUGCCCCCUUCUCCUCACUUCAUUCCAAGUUCUCAGACAAGCCAGACCCUGGUUUGGCUAGACCUAGCUAGCCAGGACAAGAAGUGUUUCACUCCUAGCUAUUCUGGCUGCUGAAGCUCAUCUCUUGCCAACUUGGAGUUAGAGGAGCAGCAUUUGUUAUCAUUCCAUUGACUACAUCACUCAUCAAGAGCCAACGUUGUGAUCAGUUUUUAAUUAUCAUUGGCUUCGCUUUAGAUCACUGUCACUGUGCCCCAUUGACUGAUUGUAGAUGGUUUCCAAAUAUUUCGAUCAAUCAUUGUGCACUUGCUAAUUUUCUUUCCUCACUGUCACAUCAGUUAAUUAUUGAGGAGAACUUGGGGGAAUAUGUUGGGGUUUCUUUCUCAAAGAAAUCUCUUAGUACUAUCCUUCUGUCUCUCUCAUCAGAGAUCUUAGUUGUGAUGUCACCGAAAGGAUCUAACGCUUUCCCCGGAUUGGAUCAGAUUGCAUAGCAGCGUUAUUGACUUCUCAAUUUUUUCCUUCCUGCAUGGGUGUUUUCCUUGAAUACUGGAAGUUGUACCACUAGACGCAGCAACAAGAACUGGUAUAACCUUGGCUUCACUGUUUGGAUUAUACACUUCCAGUUGGGAGUGAAACUCUGUAAAGAUCACUCUGUCCCAGCUGUAAAGUUGAAUUACAUGAUAAGUUAUCUGAGAAGUUCAUACUUCGAAUUAAUUUUGGGGAUCAAAACUGGCUUUAUUUGACCACUGUUACGAAAGAACGGUCAAGCACUGUUUUUCUCCCGUUUGUUAAAAGUGUUCCAAACCCAGUUGGAGCGUUGUUCAUGCUGUGUUGGCUAAUGGGUAGAAAGAAGGCACUCUCUAAGGACAUUUGCUGAAGCAAUUACAUCUCCUUGGCCAGAUUUUGGAGUAUAAUAUUUGACCUUCUCUGGACUUCAGAUAGCAGCCAGAAGGCAAAGUGAAGGAAUUUGUUUACUACAAGGGUGAUAGUUUGAUGGAUAUCACUACUGUAUCAAAGGAAAGUUACUCUGUUAUUUCUACCAACAUUCCAUAGAGAAUAACAAACCCUUUGUUUUUCAAACCCAUCUGGAUUACACAUCGCGUUGUGAUUUUGAUGAAGGCAAUAAUUGCAUUUUUCGCUCCAUGAUUGUUUCGAGAACUUGGCCUUAUAAUUCAUUGCUGAUUGUCGCUUGGGUUGUGAGUAAGCGUGUAUUGAUCUAUUGGACAGUCAUCCGUGCUUAUCAUCACUGCAUUGUUUAAGCGGAAGCAGGGUGAUGCUCAUUGGUAUCUGACAGUCUGACUUUCUGGUCCCCAAGUGCUUGAACCUCAUCAUUCAUAAUCAAGAGUCUGAUUCAACUCCAAGCAUCUCAUCACAUCAACAUCAUUGACCCAACUUUCAAGUCCAACAAAGGAUCUUAAUCACUAUCUGUGAUCAUUCUGAUGGAUAACCUGUAAUUGUUGGGCAAACCCCAGCGGCUUAAUCCAUCCACCAUACACCGUCGUCGACAGUCUCGGCUCAAUCAUAUCAAUAAAUAUUUGAUCUGAAGAUCUUUCCCGGAAGGUUUCGGGCCCCCCCCCGGAUGAGGAAUAAGGAAAACAUUUUCCCCCCGACACAUCUGUGUUCGCCAUCUUAUUUUGACUCAGACCCAUUACCGAACCUCAUUUACUCGCCGCCGCAGUGAUCGCACCGUCCCGAGCGAUUCUUUUACCAGACUCACACUCAUGGAUAGAAUCAUUCAAUAAAAUACUUUCUCUAUUUCUCCGUCUUGGUCAGCCCCUUAUUUGGCUCUGUGAUCCAGCCCCCUCCUAGCCCUUCACCAAUCUCCAUAUUACAUCUCUACAUUUUCUGGACCUGACAAGGAUUACUGCGGUGCUCUCUAACUUUGGGAGGAGGCGGUUUUGAGGAGAGCAAGUCGGAAAGCCAGAGUGAAAUUUUAUCUUGAGGAAUUAAGCCAAGAAGGAUAUUUUUAGCACGACUUGCCCGUGCUUUGAAACACAUGCACCCAUUUGGAUUAUUUUUUAUCAGCUUGUGAGAAUUAUCUUGUCAAAAUGCCGCCUGUAAUUGCCGCUAUUCCUGGACGCAGAUUCUCAUUGCGUCGAAGGAGGAGAGAGAUGGAGGGGCAGUUAUACUGCGAGGAACACACACCAAAAGAAAAACCUCCGGUAAAUGGAGGUGUUGCUGUCAAG
This is a long non-coding RNA of Lytechinus pictus (painted urchin), 2282 nucleotides long. RefSeq lists it as uncharacterized. The record is from RefSeq and is a predicted model, not a curated record. The transcript is spliced from 2 exons. Lineage: Eukaryota; Metazoa; Echinodermata; Echinoidea; Temnopleuroida; Toxopneustidae.